RNAcentral lists this transfer RNA (66 nucleotides) under Sthenias yunnanus. Its description in RNAcentral is "tRNA-Ile". The record is from RNAcentral. Lineage: Eukaryota; Metazoa; Arthropoda; Insecta; Coleoptera; Cerambycidae.
AAUGAAGUGCCUGAAAAAGGAUAAUUUUGAUAGAAUUGGUCAUGUGGCCCGGCACCACCUUCAUUU